RNAcentral lists this ribosomal RNA (468 nucleotides) under uncultured bacterium. RNAcentral describes it as "partial 16S ribosomal RNA". It matches the Rfam family "Bacterial small subunit ribosomal RNA", at positions 28 to 507 of the family's 1533-position model. The record is from RNAcentral.
GACGAACGCUGGCGGCGUGCUUAACACAUGCAAGUCGAACGGAAAGGCCCUGCUUUUGUGGGGUGCUCGAGUGGCGAACGGGUGAGUAACACGUGAGUAACCUGCCCUUGACUUUGGGAUAACUUCAGGAAACUGGGGCUAAUACCGGAUAGGAGUUCCUGCUGCAUGGUGGGGGUUGGAAAGUUUCGGCGGUUGGGGAUGGACUCGCGGCUUACCAGCUUGUUGGUGGGGUAGUGGCUUACCAAGGCUUUGACGGGUAGCCGGCCUGAGAGGGUGACCGGCCACAUUGGGACUGAGAUACGGCCCAGACUCCUACGGGAGGCAGCAGUGGGGAAUAUUGCACAAUGGGCGGAAGCCUGAUGCAGCAACGCCGCGUGCGGGAUGACGGCCUUCGGGUUGUAAACCGCUUUCGCCUGUGACGAAGCGUGAGUGACGGUAAUGGGUAAAGAAGCACCGGCUAACUACGUG